ACUCAAAGGAAUUGACGGGGACCCGCACAACCAGUGGAGCGUGUGGUUUAAUUCGAGACGAAGCGAAAAACCUCACCAAGGCUUGACAUAAUAGCGUUCUAUUCCCGAGAAACCGGGGAAAUCCGUAAGGAGGCUAUUACAGGUGCUGCAUGGCUGUCGUCAGCUCGUGCCGUGAGGUGUUCCCUUAAGUGGGGAAACGAGUGCAACCCUUGUCUAAUGUUAAAUAUUCAUUAGAGACUGCCCCGAUUUUUCGGGGAGGAAGGAAAGGCGGACGUCAAGUCAGCAUGGCCCUUAUGCCUUGGGCUACACACACCCUACAAUGGCGAAGAACAAUGGGUCGCAAGCUCGCAAGAGCAAGCUAAUCUCAGAAAUUUCGCCUCAGUUCAGAUUGGGGUCUGAAACUCGACCCCAUGAAGUUGGAAUUGGUAGUAAUCGCGGAUCAGCGGGCCGCGGUGAAUACGUUAUCGGGUCUUGUACACACCGCCCGU
This 488-nucleotide ribosomal RNA is filed under the name uncultured bacterium. RNAcentral's name for it is "partial 16S ribosomal RNA". It matches the Rfam family "Bacterial small subunit ribosomal RNA", at positions 899 to 1397 of the family's 1533-position model. The record is from RNAcentral.